UCCAUCGAUCAACAUCAAAGUUUGGCGAGUGGCAAAGGGCUUGGUGGUUGGUAUCCGAGACCCAAGUUCGAAUCCUAGUUGAUUCACAUUUUCAGCUAAGUUUAUUUCUAAAUGAAAUAAACGAAACGGGUAGCGUGCUUUACCUAUCCCUCAAAAAAACAUUAAAGUUUGGCCAAUCCUCAAACAUACACGGCUGGAAUUGGCUUAGAAUACUAUCGGUAGCCAACUGAUUUCGUUGUUAUUAAUUUAUAUUCGAUAAUAGAGCCACCAAAUUAACAAUCGGUACUAUUGAAUAUGAUUUAGACCACUUAAAUUAUUUAAAAAUUAAAUUUUGUAUUUCUCUAAUGUUGUUCUCUUGGGUAUCAAGUGAAGACAAGAAUGAAGGGCUGAAAUUAACUAUUAUUCAAAAAAGCAACGAUAGUAUUUUUAUACUGAAUAUGAAGUGUGUAGAUUUUAUUUUAAAUAGUUUAAAAAAUUUUCUAAUAAAAAUCUAAUUAAUUUUGAUUCGUUUACACCAUUAAACUUGCAAAGGCCUUGUAUUGACCAUUAAAAUAAUAAAUUUUGCAAUUAUUUGAUCAUUAGGUCAAUAAUGCCAAAAAAGUUUAAAAUUUGGUUUCUAAAUACUUCAAAAUAGUCUAGAUGAUAUUCUCCGGUACCGAUCAUCGAUUUGAAGCCUACAUCAUCGAAAUAAAUUAUUUUUCAUGCUACUUGUUUUGUUUAUUUCUUUUAAAAAUAAAUUUAACAGAAAAUAUGAAACAACUAGGCUUCGAACUUAGGACCUCGAAUACCAACCACCAAACCUUUCGCCACUUGCGUUGGGGACCGUCAGUCAAAUAAUGAAUUGUUAGCAAUAAAACACGUUUGCUACAUAGAGUGUUGUUGGGCUACUAUCAAUAGUAAAUGACUUUGUUUGCUGUCGAUUUGUUUUCGAUAAUAGAGCUUAUAAAUCAACGAUCAGCAUCGUUGAAUAUGAUCUAGACUAUUUGAACUAUUUAGAAAUCAAAUUUUAUGCUUUUUCAAUAUCACCUACUAAACGAUCAAAAGGUCACAAAAUUUGUAAUUUUAAUACCAAUACGGCACAUUUGCUCGUUUUAACAGUAUAGAAGAGUCCAAAUCAACUGAAUUUUUAUUAGAGAGUUCUUUAAAGUAUUGAAAAUAAGAUCUAGACUGUAAAUCUUUUCAAUAUUAAAAUUGUAUCAUUACUUUUUAAAGAUUAUUUAUUUUUUGUCCACUUAAAAGACAAGAAAAUAAUAUCAGAAAAGUAUGAAAUUUAAUUUUCAGAUAGUUUAAAUGAUUUAAAUUAUGUUCAACAAAAUAAUAUCAGAAAAGUAUAAAAUUUAAUGUUCUGAUAGUUUAAAUGACCUAAAUCAUAUUCAACGAUACUGAUUCUUGAUUUGAAAACUCUAUCAUCGAAAAUAAAUUAAUCCAACCGCGCGUGUACUAUCAAUAAUAACAUAGCAAAACACACACACACACACACUCUCUCUCUCUCUCUCUCUCUAUAUAUAUAUAUAUAUU
Molecule: long non-coding RNA, 1518 nt
Filed under: Ananas comosus (pineapple)
Lineage: Eukaryota; Viridiplantae; Streptophyta; Magnoliopsida; Poales; Bromeliaceae
Description: long non-coding RNA (ACOM_LNC010737)
Source: RNAcentral